This 248-nucleotide unclassified non-coding RNA is filed under the name Hevea brasiliensis (rubber tree). The record is from RNAcentral. Lineage: Eukaryota; Viridiplantae; Streptophyta; Magnoliopsida; Malpighiales; Euphorbiaceae.
GUUUUUAGUGGUACUAAUUUUUGUUGAUUUUCAAUGGGUUCAUUUUACAUAUUUGUAUUGCUUUCUAUGGCUAGAUUGCAAGUUGACAGCUGUAUAUGCUAAUUAGCAUUCUUGUAGGGGCACUGAUAAUACUUUUUUAGCUUCUUUUGAGGCAAAAGUUCUGAUGCAGAAGGUUGGAAUAUUAUUCAUGGGACAUCUAUUGGUUAUAGAAAGGUUAGAGUUUGGGGUUGUGAUGCAAAAUGGAAAUG